CAAGGUGUAGCUAAGAUAGAAAAGCAUUUCCCUUACACUGAAAAGUCCCCCGUGCAAGUCGGAGUACCUUGA
RNAcentral lists this transfer RNA (72 nucleotides) under Entomacrodus strasburgi (Strasburg's blenny). RNAcentral's name for it is "tRNA-Val". It matches the Rfam family "tRNA". From Rfam's summary of the family: Transfer RNA (tRNA) molecules are approximately 80 nucleotides in length. Their secondary structure includes four short double-helical elements and three loops (D, anti-codon, and T loops). Further hydrogen bonds mediate the characteristic L-shaped molecular structure. tRNAs have two regions of fundamental functional importance: the anti-codon, which is responsible for specific mRNA codon recognition, and the 3' end, to which the tRNAs corresponding amino acid is attached (by aminoacyl-tRNA synthetases). tRNAs cope with the degeneracy of the genetic code in two manners: having more than one tRNA (with a specific anti-codon) for a particular amino acid; and 'wobble' base-pairing, i.e. permitting non-standard base-pairing at the 3rd anti-codon position. The record is from RNAcentral. Lineage: Eukaryota; Metazoa; Chordata; Actinopteri; Blenniiformes; Blenniidae.